CCGAAGCGGGGGAUAACAUUUGGAAACAAGUGCUAAUACCGCAUAAUUAGUUGGAACCGCAUGGUUCCAACUUGAAAGAUGGCUCUGCUGUCACUUUGGGAUGGACCCGCGCCGUAUUAGUUAGUUGGUGAGAUAAAAGCCCACCAAGACGAUGAUACGUAGCCGACCUGAGAGGGUAAUCGGCCACAUUGGGACUGAGACACGGCCCAGACUCCUACGGGAGGCAGCAGUAGGGAAUCUUCCACAAUGGACGAAAGUCUGAUGGAGCAACGCCGCGUGAGUGAUGAAGGUUUUCGGAUCGUAAAACUCUGUUGUUAAAGAAGAACAAGUGUUAGAGUAACUGUUAACACUUUGACGGUAUUUAACCAGAAAGCCACGGCUAACUACGUGCCAGCAGCCGCGGUAAUACGUAGGUGGCAAGCGUUGUCCGGAUUUAUUGGGCGUAAAGCGAGCGCAGGCGGUUUUGUAAGUCUGCUGUGAAAGCCCUCAGCUCAACUGAUGAAGUGCAGUGGAAACUACAAAACUUGAGUACAGAAGAGGAAAGUGGAACUCCAUGUGUAGCGGUGAAAUGCGUAGAUAUAUGGAAGAACACCAGUGGCGAAGGCGGCUUUCUGGUCUGUUACUGACGCUGAAGCUCGAACAG
RNAcentral lists this ribosomal RNA (643 nucleotides) under Apilactobacillus kunkeei. Its description in RNAcentral is "bacterial SSU rRNA". It matches the Rfam family "Bacterial small subunit ribosomal RNA", at positions 131 to 760 of the family's 1533-position model. Lineage: Bacteria; Bacillati; Bacillota; Bacilli; Lactobacillales; Lactobacillaceae. The record is from RNAcentral.